GUAGAGUAGGGGCAGGGUGCGGGGGAAAACUGUAGGUUGCGGGCGUGUGCCGGAUUUACUGGGCGUAAAGUGAGCGUAGGCGGAAUUUUAAGUGAGAUGGGAAAUACCCGGGCUCAACUUGGGUGCUGCAUUUCAAACUGGAAGUCUAGAGUGCAGGAGAGGAGAAUGGAAUUCCUAGUGUAGCGGUGAAAUGCGUAGAGAUUAGGAAGAACACCAGUGGCGAAGGCGAUUCUCUGGACUGUAACUGACGCUGAGGCUCGAAAGCGUGGGGAGCAAACAGGAUUAGAUACCCUAGUAGUC
This 300-nucleotide ribosomal RNA is filed under the name uncultured Bacillus sp. Its description in RNAcentral is "partial 16S ribosomal RNA". The stretch from base 52 to 300 matches the Rfam family "Bacterial small subunit ribosomal RNA", at positions 547 to 795 of the family's 1533-position model. The record is from RNAcentral. Lineage: Bacteria; Bacillati; Bacillota; Bacilli; Caryophanales; Bacillaceae.